CAGCGAAAUGCGAUACCUAGUGUGAAUUGCAGAAUUCCGCGAAUCAUCGAGUCUUUGAACGCAAGUUGCGCCCGAGGCUUGUCCCGAGGGCAUGCCUGCCUGAGCGUCACCGCACUCCCACCCGACGAACCCUCGUCGUGCGUGGAAAUGGCCGUCCGGGGUCGGGCGUCGAUGCCCAGCGCCGCGGUCGGCUGAAAUGGAGCGUUCUGGACGUAGCCGGAGAGGGGGAUUGCGAGAAGGUGAUCCGCCCUCUGGGCGGAGUCUAUUUUGACAGCGUCCCUCGAUCCGGGAGGUCCCACGGAACUCGGAGCGGGAGCUCGCCCGGUCGAUCGCGAGCGGUCGGUCGGGCGAGUCACACCACUGCUUGGACCUCAGAUCAGGCAAGAUUACCCGCUGAGUUUAAGCAUAUCACU
Molecule: ribosomal RNA, 413 nt
Filed under: Metzgeria conjugata
Lineage: Eukaryota; Viridiplantae; Streptophyta; Jungermanniopsida; Metzgeriales; Metzgeriaceae
Description: eukaryotic LSU rRNA
Rfam family: 5.8S ribosomal RNA (bases 1-109)
Source: RNAcentral